UUCAGAUUUCCCAAGAGAAAACGUGGAAUCUAAACUGGAUCAAGCUAACGACAAUAAGAAUAAUAACAACAAUAAUAAUAAUAACAACAACAACAACAACAAUAAUAAUAAUAAUAAUAAUAAUAAUAAUAAUAAUAAUAAUAAUAAUAACAACCCAAAUCUGGUGUUUGCCAUGAAGUUACAACAUCCUAAAGAUCCGCUAAUGGAGACUAUAAUCCGAUCAGCAAAGUUACACAUUUAUAAACGAGGAGGCAAAAUGGAUGCCUCGAACGAAUCCUCUAGUCUUGAUUCAUUAAUGGAGGUCAACGUGUAUCACGUGACUGCCGAUUCGAACACAAGCGAAACCAAACGAACUCUUGUCGACACGAAAAUCAUCGACUUCAGAGAAUCCGGUUGGGUGAUAUUUAAUAUCCAACAAGCCCUACAAAACUGGUUAGACGGACCUACAAAGAAAGACGGAUUACUCAGACUGCAGUUGUCCAGCAAAGCCUGUACGAAAGACCUACAUCGUAUUUUCCAAGUAAAUCGACUGAUGAAAAGAUCUUUGCGCGACCAAGAACCGCGACUGAACGUAAAGACGUCGGAAAGGUUAAUCCUAGGAAGAGUGAAGAGAGACAUCCACACUGGCGAUUGCGAGAAGGGUGACGGAGAGACGCAGUGCUGUCGCUUUUCGCUGAAAAUCGACUUUAAGGAACUUAGCUGGGACGACUGGGUGAUAGCGCCCACGUCAUUUAACGCAUACUAUUGUGAAGGCGAUUGUGGAAGCAGUCGGUUAGCGAACGACUGGGCUCUUGUAAAGAAUUUAAUCCACCAAGCGAACCCGGAGAAGAUGCCGGUCGGUGUGUGUUGUGUACCGAACGAGUACAAAGGUUUAACGUUGCUGCAUUAUAACAACGACGGCCAACUGACGCUAUCAGAGAAACAGAACAUGGUCGUGCAGGACUGUCGAUGUCGAUAGAGUACACGUUCACACACCAUUACCCACGCUCCUUUUCAUACAUACACACACACACACACAUAUAUACGUGUACAUAUAAACACACACUUAACUCAUUUUCACACACACACACACACACACAUACACACACACACACA
RNA transcript from Octopus sinensis (East Asian common octopus), 1095 nucleotides. It is a transcript of the gene named bone morphogenetic protein 5-like, with no coding region annotated. The transcript has 2 exons. The record is from RefSeq and is a predicted model, not a curated record. NCBI's taxonomy places the organism in Eukaryota, Metazoa, Mollusca, Cephalopoda, Octopoda, Octopodidae.